AAGAAACUGAGAUAUUCGUUUCAAAAUCAGUGCUAAGUCCACUAUUGCUUGUAAGCUCCUUUCUCUUUGAGCUAAGAUCAAGCUCUUUGUUGCAACAUUUACAUGUGCAAACUAUGAACUCCACAACUUGUUCCUAUUAUCGCUUGGAACCUUAGUGUCAACUAGUAUUUUUAGGCCAUUGAUACAAAUUCAUUCAUAAUGACCAUCUAGAAGUUAACUAU
RNAcentral lists this unclassified non-coding RNA (221 nucleotides) under Hevea brasiliensis (rubber tree). Lineage: Eukaryota; Viridiplantae; Streptophyta; Magnoliopsida; Malpighiales; Euphorbiaceae. The record is from RNAcentral.